This 329-nucleotide ribosomal RNA is filed under the name uncultured eukaryote. RNAcentral describes it as "partial 18S ribosomal RNA". It matches the Rfam family "Eukaryotic small subunit ribosomal RNA", at positions 1470 to 1796 of the family's 1831-position model. The record is from RNAcentral.
CCCUUAGAUGUUCUGGGCCGCACGCGCGCUACACUGACGAUGGCAACGAGUUUUUCCUUCGCCGAAAGGUGUGGGUAAUCUUUUGAAACAUCGUCGUGCUGGGGAUAGAUCAUUGCAAUUUUUGAUCUUGAACGAGGAAUUCCUAGUAAGCGCGAGUCAUCAGCUCGCGUUGAUUACGUCCCUGCCCUUUGUACACACCGCCCGUCGCUACUACCGAUUGAAUGGUUUAGUGAGGACUCCUGAUUGGCGCCGCCGCCCCGGCAACGGAGCAGCGGACUGCCGAAAAGUUGUUCAAACUUGAUCAUUUAGAGGAAGUAAAAGUCGGAACA